Long non-coding RNA from Rhipicephalus sanguineus (brown dog tick), 704 nucleotides. RefSeq lists it as uncharacterized. Lineage: Eukaryota; Metazoa; Arthropoda; Arachnida; Ixodida; Ixodidae. The transcript has 3 exons. The record is from RefSeq and is a predicted model, not a curated record.
UUGACUUUUUGAAUAGCGACAGUCUUUAAAACGCGUUUUGCUGCCUAAUUUCUAACAUGUUUAAAAGCCAGCCUCAUUCAUGUUCGUGAAUACAUGUGCGUAUCUACUGUGCGCCUUCACUGAUUUCCGUGGUUUUCGGUCACAUUUGCCCAUUGGUCUUAUGCAGUGCCAAGUCAAGUGUGGGCAAGUACAUCAGUGCAUCAUGCACCGGCUGUGGUGCCUGUGCAAACUACAGAUCUCGAUGAAGGUGGCAAGACCUUCUGACACAAGAGCCAGGCGCAGCUUUAUCGAGCAACUGGUCAGUGAGAUGACAUGCCAGCAGCCCGCCCAUCGUCUGACCAGAGAAUUUGGAGGUAGUACGACGACAAGGCGUUCUACGAUCAAGUGCAAGGGAAUGUGAAAGUUUCGGUUGGCACACAUCUAGAGAAAGCCCUUAUUUGGUACUUGACGAUGUACUACUAGUACCUUACAUACCCAACUGGGUAUGCUCAAUACUUCGUCUUGUGCUAAGUAUAAUGAACCCAGUUGUUUCCCAGGUGUUUUGCCGGCGGGAACCUGCUGAAGACAUAUGAAAAGAUCAAAGGUAUUCGUUAAGCACCAGAAUAUAUUUGUCCUAAAAAACAUUGGCUGGCACGUUUAGCGUUUCCUUGAGCGCUGAGCAUUGCUUUUAGCGCUGUUUGUAUUUUUUUACAAUAAAUACUUAU